RNAcentral lists this transfer RNA (62 nucleotides) under Neotoma lepida (desert woodrat). It matches the Rfam family "tRNA", at positions 6 to 65 of the family's 71-position model. From Rfam's summary of the family: Transfer RNA (tRNA) molecules are approximately 80 nucleotides in length. Their secondary structure includes four short double-helical elements and three loops (D, anti-codon, and T loops). Lineage: Eukaryota; Metazoa; Chordata; Mammalia; Rodentia; Cricetidae. The record is from Rfam by way of RNAcentral.
UGUAGCUCAGCUGGUAGAGUGCUUGGCUAGUAUCAACGAAGUCCUGGGUUCGAUUCCCAGCA